GGAUGAUGAGUUACAGUAAGACUAGACACAUUCCUUCACAUGGAGGCUGAUGAAGUAACCCAGUAGAAAGAAAUGAUCCCUACACCAGGCAAGGAUUUCCCACUGGGACACGGGGAUACGGAAAGGAAAGUGGAGGACCCAAAAACUUCUCUUUUUUCAGAUUACAAAAGAAUCAAAAAUGGGGCAGAAACUGAAGGAAAGGCCAUCCAGAGACUGUCCAACCAUGUGAUCCACUCCAUCUGCACACACCAAACCCCAACACUGUUGCUGAUUUCAAGAUGUGCUUGAAGACAGGAACCUGGUAGGGCUGUCCUCUGAGAGGCUCUGCCCCCACCUGACUGAGACAAAUGCAAAUAUUCACAGCCAAACAUUGGACUGAACCCAAGGUCCCCAUUCUAAGAGUUAGGAGAAGGGCUGAAGGAGCUGACGGGGAUCGCAACCUCAUAGGAAAGACACCAGUAUCACUUAACCAGACCCCUCGGAGCUCCCAGGAAAUAAACCGCCAACCAAAGA
Molecule: long non-coding RNA, 513 nt
Organism: Grammomys surdaster
Lineage: Eukaryota; Metazoa; Chordata; Mammalia; Rodentia; Muridae
Exons: 3
Source: RefSeq, a predicted model, not a curated record